This is a non-coding RNA of Camellia sinensis, 234 nucleotides long. Lineage: Eukaryota; Viridiplantae; Streptophyta; Magnoliopsida; Ericales; Theaceae. The record is from RefSeq and is a predicted model, not a curated record.
CAGCAAUAUUCUUGGUAAGGCUAAUUGUACAUUGUCUCAGAUUUCAAAUGGGAGAUUGGUCAGGACUUGGUGCGCACAUCAAAAAUCAGUUUGACAUUUUCCAGCGAUGAUUCAUUUCUUAUUUCUGGUUCAGAAGAUGGCAUGAUCAUUAUUUAGCCUAUGAUCGGGAAAAAUAAAUAACUGACUUUGUAAUCACAUUGUUUGGUGGAAGUUUGGUAGAUGAGACAGAAUGUU